RNAcentral lists this long non-coding RNA (3504 nucleotides) under Mytilus galloprovincialis (Mediterranean mussel). Lineage: Eukaryota; Metazoa; Mollusca; Bivalvia; Mytilida; Mytilidae. The record is from RNAcentral.
AUUUAUUUUAUUUUUGUCGUGCCUUAGCAAUAAGUCAUGUAUGUAGAGGACUCUUGGAUAACCCUGUAUCCAUACCAAUAGGGCCUUUGUAGCAUAAAGGUCUAAGUAGUCCAACUACUGUAUCACUAUGACUGGGAUUAAUACUGAGGUUGUGAGUUACAAUCUGGCUUUUGGCAGGUGUGCUUUCGACUCCAAUCAUAAUUGAUUAGGAUUGUCAGUUAAUCUACUAAAAAAUAAUAACAAAAUAAAAACUGUCUGCCAUGGUACAAUAGUCAUGAAAGUGGUAUUAAACACCAAACAAUCAAUCAGCCAUAUCAAAGCUUAUUAUGUAAGUAAUAAUAUGCAACUAAUAUGCAGAAACUAUUCACAGCAAUAAUAUUUGGUUUACAAAUGCACAUUGGAGAGUGACCAUAAACCAUAAAAUGGAUGUCACAUGAUCAGCUGCCACAUUUUUCAAUCUUUAGAUGAUUUACUUUUCUUUCAAAUCCAAUUUACAUAUUGUAAUUAACCUGCAACCAUUUAACUUGAAUGGAUGAUGCAAUUAGGUAAAAGCAAAUCACUCUGACCUAUAUUGAAUACUUCAUUGACUCUAAAUUAAGUUUUAUCUCUGUAUGGCAUAUUCUAUUUAGUCUUAUUGAGACUUUGGACAUCAAAAGUCUUUUUAAGCUUAGGCUAGGAGCUUAUACUUCUGCAACCACAAUUUGUUUUAUGAAGAUUAUUGCUAACAUGUUCUGAAGAUUUAUCAUUAGAAUAUGAUAUUUUUAAAAUUUUAAUUUUGGAUGAUUUAUACAAACAUUUUAUAUGAAAAAUUUGAUAUUUGUGUUUUAGUCACCAGAAAAAGAAAUGUAAAAAUUAGAAUAAUACAAUAAGAAUCAGCCUUAGAUCAGUCAGAAGUUUAAACAUAAUACAUCCAGACGAACAAUACCAGUAUCAUUGGUAUUAUUUAAGUCAUUCAAAUUUACUGCACUUUGAUACAUGAAAAGGUGGAGUUGAACAUUAUAACUGGCUGAUACUUCAUGUAUGUUUUAUGUGACUGCUAUAUUAAAUGUUGUUUUUAUAGAAAGGUGCUAUGUUUAUUUCACUUGAAUUCAUUUGUUUAAAGUGUGCUUUAUUUUAUUUUUUUGUUGAUAAUUUUAUGCUAAUUGUAUAUAACAGCGCUAUUAUUUGAACUUGGAAUUAUUUUUAAUUAUGGAAUUUGCAUAAUUUCUUGUGCUUGAAAUUUUGAAUUAAUUCCAUGUUUAUUCUGUAUUAUAAUGUUCUGUGGGGCACACAACACUUUCUAUUACAAAAAAGAUAGCACAUUUUCAAUAGAAUGUACUGUGCCGUGGACAACACUAUCUAUACAAAAUACAAUGUGUGGAAAGUGUUAUGCACCACUCAAAACAUUAUAAUACAGAAUAAACAUGGAAUUUAUCAAAAAUUUCAAACACAAGAAAUUAUGAAAAUUCCAUAUUAAAUUAAAAAUAAUUCCAAGUUAAAAAAAAAGCCUGUUAUAUAUACAUUUAUGUUUUAGGUAAUUAGAUGACAACUAUAUUGAUUUUAUAACCACUUAUUAAUCUUGUUAUUUUAUUUGUAGAAAUAUAAAUAUAUUUAGAAAACUCUAUUAUCUAUGUAUAUACAUGUACAUGUAUAUUUUUAUAUGUAAUUUUUUUUUAAUUCCUGUUAAAGCAAAGGAUGGAAUUUUGUCUUUGUGAUUUCUAAGCUUGAUGUUAAAUAAUCAAGUAUUCUGUCUUUUGAUAAGCAGUAAAUAGUUUCAGGAUAUAAUUUAGUACGCCAGACUCAUCAAUAUCAAAAUAGUUAUCAAGCCUAAACCAAUUAUACAAACACAAAGUGGAGAAAAUGAUAAAAGUAUCAAAUACCAGUAGCUUAGUAGUUGUAUACCCACUUCCUAAUGGUAUGGUGUUAACAUAUCUCAAUUAUUAUAUUACGCUGAUGUAUUUUGACAAUUUAAAGACUUAAUUAUGGUAACUGGGUGUUCUCCUCUCACAAAAACUGCCCUUAAAAAGUUAUGGGAAAUAAUGACUGAAAUCAACAUAACAUAAGUUUAAUAGUUACUGUCACAAAAAGAUGACCAGUAAAAUGUGACUAUGUCUCAAGUUAGAAGUGACGUUUUGUUUUUGUAUUAUAUCUUUAAAUACAAGCUGUAACAUUUUGAGUUCAGCUUUGAAUGGGGUUGAUACAUGCAUAGAAAAUUAUGCUAACCCUAUGUAUCUGACUCAAUCCUUUCAGGGUUCAUGGGGUUCCCUCAGUUUUUGUUUCUUUCGUUAUUACAAAAUGUAGUAUCUUCUGAAUGGGUUUAUAAGAUUUCAACAUCUGAUAACUAAUGUAGCCUGGAAUUUAGUAUUGAAAUAGAGUGAUAAAUGGAACAAAAAAACAUAAUUAUGGAUAGAUAAUUUCCUCAAUGAAAAGAAUACAAUUUACACUUGGGUUUCUAUAUUUAAGAUGACUUUUACUCUAAGAUAUGGACCACAGUUUAAAAUGGUUCUCAUCAAUCUGAUAGGCCAUAUCUUCACCUUAAGAUAUCCAUAUAUACAUUAAAAUCUCAAGAUGACCUAUACACUAUAUAAAUGACAUUGACAUAAGUUAUGUUUAACACAUUAUAUGAGAUAUUGCCACUUAUCAUAAAAAACGUAAAAGAUAUUUUACAUUCAAUUGCAUUUAUUAGGAUAUAUAUAAUUCAAUGCAUUGAUACAUCUAAUUUUUUUUUACAAAAGACCAGUACAGCACAUUGUUUAUGCUCAACCUAAGAUAGUUUAUAGGGACUUUAUAUUUUUCUGCGUUCUGCAUCCAAAUUGGUUUGUCCGUACAUUGGUUCAUUCAUUUUGUAUCAGGUUAAAUUUUGUGAAGUAAGUUUACCAUUAAGUUGUGAUCACAUUAAUUUGAAACUUUGUACACAUUGUUUAUCAUGAUCUGAACUUUUAGCGUUGAUUUUAUUGUUUACUGACCAUAGGAAUGUGAUAUUGCGAACAGUACAUUCGCAGGUUGAAUGUUUUGUAAAGGUUGUAUACCUAAAAUUUAGGGUCACAUCAUCUUGACAAUUAGUUCCCAUGUUUAUUAUAAGGUGAAGUAUUCAAAUUUUAGGGUGUCCUAUUGACCCAUAUUCUUGUUAUUGUCUGUUAUUGGAUUCAUUGAUAUUUUAUUUUAUGGAGUAAUUUUCUGAGUCUUUUCAUGACAUUAUUAUAAAACAAUAAGCAAUGCAAUGUUGUAAGUGAUGUUUUUUUUAUUUGUAAAAUGAAAAAGCUGGCAGUUUUAAAAUUAAAUAAUAUCUGUUAAAUAUUUAUGAUUUUAUUUCAAAAUGCAGCUUAUAAAAAUAAGAAGAUGUGAUAUGAUUGUCAAUGCGACAACUCUCUGCAAGACACCGAAUGACAUAGAAAUUAACAACUGUAGGUAACUGUAUUGCCUUCAGCAAUCAGUAAAACCCAUACCUCAUAGUUAGCUAUAACAGGCCUAAAAAUGACCAAUGUAAAACAAUUCAAACAAGAAAACUAACGGCUUGAUUUAUGU